ACAACUUUCAACAACGGAUCUUUUGGCUCUUGCAUCGAUGAAGAACGCAGCGAAAUGCGAUAAGUAAUGUGAAUUGCAGAAUUCAAGUGAAUAAUCGAAUCUUUGAAACGCACCUUGCGCUUCUUGGUAUUCCGAGGAACAUGCCUGUUUGAGUGUCAUUAA
RNAcentral lists this ribosomal RNA (162 nucleotides) under Conocybe apala. RNAcentral describes it as "5.8S ribosomal RNA". It matches the Rfam family "5.8S ribosomal RNA". Rfam says of the family: 5.8S ribosomal RNA (5.8S rRNA) is a component of the large subunit of the eukaryotic ribosome. The record is from RNAcentral. Lineage: Eukaryota; Fungi; Basidiomycota; Agaricomycetes; Agaricales; Bolbitiaceae.